This 1106-nucleotide long non-coding RNA is filed under the name Heterocephalus glaber (naked mole-rat). RNAcentral's name for it is "lncRNA (ENSHGLG00000040653.1)". The record is from RNAcentral. Lineage: Eukaryota; Metazoa; Chordata; Mammalia; Rodentia; Bathyergidae.
CAACGAUGAGAACGCAGCUCUAGGCCGGUCUGGAAAGGCAGCACAGUUGGGCCCAAGUGGCCCAACUCCCUGGAGGAGAGGACGGGCUCUGAAGACUCUUCCGGCUGCCCCUGAAACCCUGAAACCGCUUAGUUGUUUUUCUGGUUGACUAGCUGCUGCACGCAACUGUCAGCUGCUUGUGAACUGUGUGACGCCAGUUCGCGCUCCUGUUUGUUUUCUAAAAGGCACUGCCCUGAUUUUUUUUUAACGACUAAAUAAUAAUAAUCAUUUCAGUCUCCCUCUCCUGAGGUGUUCCUUGAUGUCUCUAGGGUGCUAGGGCUGGGCCAGCAUCUUUUCCUGCAAUUUUUUUAUCCUCCCAUGGACAGCAGGGAGAACACAGGCUGCACCAGGCUGUUACACCAGGCCUCCCCGCUGGGAUAAAUGCAGCUUGUUUCAAAAGUGAAGGAAGGAAGGAGAGAGCGGAGAGGACAUCAAUCCCCUCCUUCCCAAAGGUUGCACCUACCAGCGACAGUGAUGGUGAUCUGAAAAUGAGGCCUCUUAUCCUAACCUCCAUCCAUGGGCACAAGGCCAUAGUGAGCCCUAUUUUAGACAGAGAAUACUCUCCUCUGUCCACGGCUGCAAGGUUAUAGUGAGCCCCAUUGCUGGACAAAGAAUAUCCUCUUUUCCUUGGCACGGAUUUCCUUUCCCACAACCUCUUCACACCCUUCAGAUCACCAGCAAAAUUCUCCCUCCGCUUGCUUCUGGCCUGGGAAUGAGUUGCCAGGCAUUCGAUCCAUUCCUGGAAGAGAGACUUUGAAAGCUCAGAGAUUGGCAAGAAAGGUGGGCUUCCCAUAGUGACCUGGUCUCUAAAGGUGAGGCAAAGGGAAAAGCAGACAUUUUUCACUGAGAUUAGCUUUCUUGCCAGUUCCUCUUGAUUUUUCCUAAAAUAAAAGCACUUUUCCUUCUCAGCCUGGUUGCAUUUUAAAAGACGUCUUCUAGUGUUGCAGCUUUGAGGAAAACUUGGGCGCUGUAUCUGGAAGUCUGAAGAGAUUCUGGUUCAGGAUUGAUUCAGGAUUUCUCCUAGGAGGAACAGCGCAUGUGAUGCCCCUCUUUUCUGUGAUGCUUAC